CACGUAGGGGGCAAGCGUUGUCCGGAAUUACUGGGCGUAAAGGGCGUGUAGGCGGUCAGUCAAGUCUAGUGUGAAACACCUGGGCUCAACCCAGGUAUUGCACUGGAAACUGGUUGACUUGAGGGCAGGAGAGGUAAGUGGAAUUCCUAGUGUAGCGGUGAAAUGCGUAGAUAUUAGGAAGAACACCAGUGGCGAAGGCGACUUACUGGCCUGACCCUGACGCUGAGGCGCGAAAGCGUGGGGAGCGAACAGG
RNAcentral lists this ribosomal RNA (253 nucleotides) under uncultured bacterium. RNAcentral's name for it is "partial 16S ribosomal RNA". It matches the Rfam family "Bacterial small subunit ribosomal RNA", at positions 524 to 776 of the family's 1533-position model. The record is from RNAcentral.